AAGCAAAACUCAUGCACUUAGUCUUUCCCUGUGUUCAAAUUCCUCUAUACAUGUUUAUUCUGAAAGAAAUUGUAGAAUAAAUAAAACAACAAUCGCACUAAGUAACUAUUGAGAUAAAUAUAUAUGUCCAUGACAUUACCCCCCCUUCUAGAGACAAGUUCCAUGACGAGCGGUCAUCAUCUUUCAUAAAUCUUUAUAAUUCUUUAUCUUGGUUUUGAUAGAUAUCAUUAAUAAAAGGCCU
RNAcentral lists this long non-coding RNA (241 nucleotides) under Physcomitrium patens. RNAcentral's name for it is "long non-coding RNA (PPAT_LNC006919)". The record is from RNAcentral. Lineage: Eukaryota; Viridiplantae; Streptophyta; Bryopsida; Funariales; Funariaceae.